RNAcentral lists this transfer RNA (71 nucleotides) under Cyclura pinguis. RNAcentral describes it as "tRNA-Thr". It matches the Rfam family "tRNA". From Rfam's summary of the family: Transfer RNA (tRNA) molecules are approximately 80 nucleotides in length. Their secondary structure includes four short double-helical elements and three loops (D, anti-codon, and T loops). Lineage: Eukaryota; Metazoa; Chordata; Lepidosauria; Squamata; Iguanidae. The record is from RNAcentral.
GCCCUAGUAGCUUAAACCACAAAGCAUUGGUCUUGUAAACCAAAGCUGGGCCCCAACCAGCCCCUAAGGCA